Molecule: transfer RNA, 68 nt
Filed under: uncultured Bacteroides sp.
Lineage: Bacteria; Pseudomonadati; Bacteroidota; Bacteroidia; Bacteroidales; Bacteroidaceae
Rfam family: tRNA
About the family: Transfer RNA (tRNA) molecules are approximately 80 nucleotides in length. Their secondary structure includes four short double-helical elements and three loops (D, anti-codon, and T loops).
Source: RNAcentral
GGUAGUAGCUCAGUCGGUAGAGCAUCAGCCUUCCAAGCUGAGGGUCGCGGGUUCGAGUCUCGUCUGCC